CUCCAAUGGUUGUAGAGGUCUUCCCAUACAUCUGCCCACAUCCAGUGAUCCUUAUAGGACUUUCAGUCUGGUGGUGACUGGGAAUCAGAAUGCUUGAUUGCGGACUAUCAUAGGCUGUGUAGUCCAUCUCAAAACCUACGUGUAGCCACCUGCUUGAAGAUCGGAUGGCCAGCCUUCUCAUCCUGAGGAGAUAAGAAUCAGUAGUACCCCUGCAAAUAGAAGUAAGCAUGUAUUAAUAAAUAGAAUAUAAAUCUAUCAAAAAUUAUUAAAUUAAAUACUUUUGACUUAUUAGGAACAUCUUUCAAGUUGCAUCACGAGCCCCCGAC
RNAcentral lists this long non-coding RNA (326 nucleotides) under Elaeis guineensis (African oil palm). Its description in RNAcentral is "long non-coding RNA (EGUI_LNC029953)". The record is from RNAcentral. Lineage: Eukaryota; Viridiplantae; Streptophyta; Magnoliopsida; Arecales; Arecaceae.